This 499-nucleotide ribosomal RNA is filed under the name Talicada nyseus. RNAcentral describes it as "partial 16S ribosomal RNA". Lineage: Eukaryota; Metazoa; Arthropoda; Insecta; Lepidoptera; Lycaenidae. The record is from RNAcentral.
UUUAUCAAAAACAUGUCUUUUUGUAUUUAAUUUAAAGUCUAAUCUGCCCACUGAUUUUUAAUUAAAGGGCUGCAGUAAUUUGACUGUACAAAGGUAGCAUAAUCAUUAGUCUUUUAAUUGAAGACUUGUAUGAAAGAUUUGAUGAGAUAUAAACUGUCUCUUUAUUACAAUUAAAAUUUAAUUUUUUAGUUAAAAAGCUAAAAUAUUUUUAAAAGACGAGAAGACCCUAUAGAGUUUUAUAGUUUUUAUUAUAAAAUAUUUAUAUAAAAUUUUAAUGUUAUAUUAUAAAAAUUAUUUUGUUGGGGAGAUAAAAAAAUUAAAUAAACUUUUUUAAAUAUUUUCAUGAAUAAUUGAGUAAUUGAUCCAUAUUUAUUGAUUAAAAGAAAAAAUUACCUUAGGGAUAACAGCGUAAUAUUUUUUUUUAGUACAAAUAAGAAAAAAAGUUUGCGACCUCGAUGUUGGAUUAAGAUAAAAUUUAAAUGUAAAAGUUUAAAAUUUU